Molecule: ribosomal RNA, 3216 nt
Filed under: Triticum aestivum (bread wheat)
Lineage: Eukaryota; Viridiplantae; Streptophyta; Magnoliopsida; Poales; Poaceae
Description: partial small subunit ribosomal RNA
Source: RNAcentral
AUGGGUCGGUCGUCACAAGGGGGACUCCUCUUUCGUCUUGGAUUUCGGUUGCCUAGCUGCUUCGGCAGCGCGGUCGUUUUCUCUAGCCAUUUUCCUAAAAAUGGCAGUGCGCUGCGCUUUCAACGUGGCCCGAAGGUGUGGCUCCAUCUACUUGCAUACGGGAAGGAGCUAGACAGACACCGAUGGAGACGGCGAGCAUCUCGGUUGGUUUCGAUGGGGAUAGGAUGUGUUGCAUCGCGAGUAUGCUUGUUGGUUCCGGAUGAACGCGAGCUGCUCAAGGAUAAUGCCCCUGCUCCAAAUCCUGAGGAGGAGGACCUGGCUCCCCGUGUCGCUGGUGGUGGUAAGGGGACCCCCUUCUCUGGUGUUUGCUCCAAUGUGCCUACUCGCCCGCAGUCUCCGUCCUUCUCUGGGAUUGAGGAUCUUCCCGCUUCCUCCAUGCGCUCCAUCGAGCCCUUAACUAAGAAGAAGAAGAAGUCUUCGGUCCAGAAAUUCUCGGCUAAGAGUCGGGCCUCCUCUACUUCCAAGCUUUCGGCGGCGGGUCUGACCUGUCGUCUGAACAAGGAUCUGGGCUCCGCCUCGGGGUCUGGCCCCGGGCCGGCGUCGCCGGUCCGGUGCUCCCCUAUGCUCCAAUCUCCGGCGUCCACGGCGCGGAAGGGACGGCGCGUGCGCGAUUCUGGCGUUUCGGUGGCGGUGCGGGCGGAACGGCGUGCCGCGUCCAGGGAUCUCCCUCCUACAGCCCUAUCACAUGAUCAUUUGUUUCAUAUCAUGUCUGAUAUUGGGGUGGCGGCUAUACCGGGGAUGGGCUCUCCUUCUCACCUCCUCUCUGUCAUUAGGGCCAACGAGGCAGCCCAGGCUGCUAUUGCUAAGGCCGUGGAGGCCGCGAAGGGUGCUGCCCUGCUGGUGCUCAGGGCCAGGCCGGGGGCUUUAUUCUGGAAUAUUCGUGGUUUCGGUGCUAGGGGGCGCCGGGACCAGAUUCAUGACUUGGUUUGUGGUGAACAUAUUGACAUCUUAGGGUUGGUCGAAACGUUUAAGGAAUCUUUCUCCCCUUCUGAACUAUCUGUGAUAGCUGGGAUGGAUAGUAAUUGCGCGCUUCGUGAGCUCCCUAGGGUGGGGGCGCGAUUCACCUGGUCUAACCAUCAAUCCUCGCCUGUCUGGUCGGUGGUGGAUAGGGUUUUUGUUUCUGAUCAAUGGGAUUCGCUGUUUCCCCAUGCGCUACUGAAGGCCAGGCCUGCGGUGGGCUCUGACCAUGUUCCCCUGAUCCUGGAUGCUGGUAUCCUUUCUAUUGUCUCUCCCUCCCGUUUCCAGUUUGAUGCGUCUUGGCUCGUUGUUGAGGGUUUUUGUGACAUGAUGGUCUCUAAGAUUACUAAUCUCCUAGCUUCUCCUCAUCGCUCCUUUGGCCCCAUGGAUGAUUGGCCCAAGUUGUCUUAUGAGCUUCGUAAAUUCUUGAGGGGGUGGUCUCGGAAUAGGACAGCCGAGCUGCGUAGAGACAAAGAGUCCCUUGAAUCUCAAAUCCGGGAUUUGGACCAAUCUGCUGACACAUCUGGGCUCUCCGCCUCUCAGUGGGCCACUCGCUACUCCCUGGAAGACGCUUUGAUGGUGCUUCACCAUCAACGCCGCAGAUGCUUCAUUGACACUCUGUUGAUUGACGACGUUAGAAUUUCGGACCAAUCCCUCAUCAUGAAUCACAUUGUUAGCUUCUAUUCCAAUCUACUCGGCUCUAAGCCGGACCCUGGGUUUGGCCUCUGCUCUGACUUCUGGGAUGAGGGAACUAAGAUCUCUUCGGGCGAAAAUUCGGGCCUGAUGGUCCCCUUAUCUGACGAAGAGAUCUGGCAGAUUAACUUCGCCAAGAGUGAAGUGGUUGUGACUGGUGUCGAUGAGUCGGAAGCCGCGCGAGUGGCCCACCUUCUUAAGUGUAAGCUGGGCUCCUAUCCGUUCAAGUACUUGGGUUUGCCUAUUUCCCCGGAUGUGCUUCAUGCCAAAGAUUUUGCCCCGGUGGUCACAAAGGUGGGGAACAGGGUCCUUCCCUGGCGGGGUAGAUAUAAUACGAAUGCGGGUAAAGUGGCUCUAAUUAAUGCUUGCCUCUCCUCCCUCCCCAAGUUCCUUAUGGGCUUCUAUCUCUUUUCAGCUGGGAUUCAUGCUGGUUUUGAUAAACACCGUGGGGCGUUCUACUGGAAUGCAGCGGACAAUCGUCGCAAAUAUCGCUUCGUCAAAUGGAAAUUGAUGUAUAGGCCCAAAAACCUUGGGGGGUUAGGAAUUCUUAAUACUUCCAUCAUGAAUCAAUGCUUGAUGAUUAAAUGGUGGUGGAAGAUUAUGAGUGCUGAGGAUCAACCCCUUUGGUUGUCGAUCCUUCAGGCUAAAUAUUUUCCGUCUUCGAGCCCGAUGUUUGCCUUGCCGCGUGGUGGCUCUCAGUUCUGGAAGUCUCUGGUCAAAGUUAGACCUGUUUUUCAAUCUUUCGUUAAGUUUGUUGUUGGGGACGGAUCCUCGAUUAGGUUUUGGCUUGACUGGUGGUGUGGAGAUUCACCUCUCUCGGUGACCUUCCCUACCCUUUUCUCUUACUGCUCUGAUCCCAAUAUUUCGAUUGCGAAGCUUGCGUCCAAGGGGUGGAACCUGGCCUUUCGUCGCUCUCUGUCGCCUGUAGAGUUUGAAGAUUGGCAACGUCUUACUGCCCUCUUCCCAACGCUCUCGACGGUCGGGGAUUCGGUGCUUUGGCCGCUUUCAGCCUCUGGGCGUUUUUCUGUUAAGUCUCUUUAUUCUAAGCUUGUUGGUGGCACGUCUACCAAUCGUUUUUCCCAAAUUUGGAAGGCCCGUAUUCCCCCUAAGAUUAAAAUCUUCUUGUGGCAAGCUUUCCGAGGCCGGUUGCCCUCGGCUGAUCAAAUCCUUUGUUUGGAGUUGCGUGAGGGACUGGCUCGUGUCUCUUGGGCCCCUGCCUCCUUUGCCGAGUUGCACAGCUUAGCCUCCAACCUCGCCGGUGUAUCUAGGCGCAUCUUUUGGGUGGGCUUGGGGGCUUUAUGCUGGUCUCUGUGGACAACUAGGAACAAAUUUACUAUUGAGCAUGUGUUUCCGACUAAACCGGCCGACUGCUUAUUUAAAUCGUGUGCUUUCCUGCAGCAGUGGAAAUCAUUGACUAAGGUCGACGACCAAGAGGCGCUCUCUAUGCUGAUCGGCAAAGUCCGGACGACGGCGUCUCAGUUAUGCAGACAAGAGCAGGAUGCUUGA